Molecule: ribosomal RNA, 295 nt
Filed under: Salmonella enterica subsp. enterica serovar Mbandaka
Lineage: Bacteria; Pseudomonadati; Pseudomonadota; Gammaproteobacteria; Enterobacterales; Enterobacteriaceae
Also listed under: 1 other name
Description: partial 23S ribosomal RNA
Rfam family: Bacterial large subunit ribosomal RNA
Source: RNAcentral
CCCAGACAGCCAGGAUGUUGGCUUAGAAGCAGCCAUCAUUUAAAGAAAGCGUAAUAGCUCACUGGUCGAGUCGGCCUGCGCGGAAGAUGUAACGGGGCUAAACCAUGCACCGAAGCUGCGGCAGCGACGCUGUGCGUUGUUGGGUAGGGGAGCGUUCUGUAAGCCUGUGAAGGUGGCCUGUGAGGGUUGCUGGAGGUAUCAGAAGUGCGAAUGCUGACAUAAGUAACGAUAAAGCGGGUGAAAAGCCCGCUCGCCGGAAGACCAAGGGUUCCUGUCCAACGUUAAUCGGGGCAGG